UCUGAAUCUGCGAACGGCUCCGCAAACCAGUUGUAAACUAUUGCUAGCACGCUCAUCGUCUUCGGAUGGUGGGCUAUAAGGAUAACCCUGGUAAUUCUGAGGCUAAUACUCGACCGUAAAACUCGCUGGUCUGGGUAACUGGUAAGGCGAGGGACGUGUAAUUGAUCGCAGGAGAUGCCGGGAAAGGAUGCACGUUCUGACCACCAUACAAACAGUAUCCUGGAAGCUCGCAAGGGCCGAAGGGUGUCUGGGUGGCUCUAGCAUUGUGCUUCUGACCUAUCAACUAGAUGGCAGUGUAAGGGACAUGCCAUGGU
This 314-nucleotide ribosomal RNA is filed under the name Nannengaella alpestris. Its description in RNAcentral is "bacterial SSU rRNA". It matches the Rfam family "Eukaryotic small subunit ribosomal RNA", at positions 80 to 350 of the family's 1831-position model. The record is from RNAcentral. Lineage: Eukaryota; Evosea; Eumycetozoa; Physariida; Physaraceae.